Molecule: unclassified non-coding RNA, 342 nt
Filed under: Hevea brasiliensis (rubber tree)
Lineage: Eukaryota; Viridiplantae; Streptophyta; Magnoliopsida; Malpighiales; Euphorbiaceae
Source: RNAcentral
AGCUUAGCAGGAAUAUUACAAAAGCUGCUCCCUACAAGUUUUUUCAUAUGAUCAGGAUGCAUCAUGUCUGUGGAAGAUAUCAUUUCAUUAAGCCAAGACAAGGCAUAAGGAGCACGAGAUGUUAGAGGAUAAGCAGCAGCUACUAAUGUCCCUAGAGGAAUGACAGGAACAUUGAGAAUCUGAGCAGGAUCAGCUAGGGGUACAAGGAGUUUGAGUACGGACUUAGAUGAUGUGUAAUCAAGUGAUGAAGCCAAAGUAACAAUAGCUGCUAAUCCAGGUUUUCUUCCAUCCAAACCACACCGUGAUAGCCUGGAAUACAGUAAUAUUCCUCCCAUAGAAUGU